GUGCUCACUUCAGCAGCACAUAUACUAAAAUUGGAACGAUACAGAGAUUAACAUGGCCCCUGCUCAAGGACAACAUGCAAAUUUGUGAAGCCUUCCAUAUUUAA
Small nuclear RNA from Onychomys torridus (southern grasshopper mouse), 104 nucleotides. NCBI's taxonomy places the organism in Eukaryota, Metazoa, Chordata, Mammalia, Rodentia, Cricetidae. The record is from RefSeq and is a predicted model, not a curated record.